AUUGAACGCUGGCGGAAUGCUUUACACAUGCAAGUCGAACGGCAGCACGGGGCAACCUGGUGGCGAGUGGCGAACGGGUGAGUAAUACAUCGGAACGUGCCCAAUCGUGGGGGAUGACGUAGCGAAAGUUACGCUAAUACCGCAUACGAUCUACGGAUGAAAGCGGGGGAUCGCAAGACCUCGCGCGAAUGGAGCGGCCGAUGUCAGAUUAGGUAGUUGGUGGGGUAAAGGCUCACCAAGCCAACGAUCUGUAGCUGGUCUGAGAGGACGACCAGCCACACUGGAACUGAGACACGGUCCAGACUCCUACGGGAGGCAGCAGUGGGGAAUUUUGGACAAUGGGCGCAAGCCUGAUCCAGCCAUUCCGCGUGCAGGAUGAAGGCCUCGGUU
This 390-nucleotide ribosomal RNA is filed under the name uncultured bacterium. Its description in RNAcentral is "bacterial SSU rRNA". It matches the Rfam family "Bacterial small subunit ribosomal RNA", at positions 30 to 424 of the family's 1533-position model. The record is from RNAcentral.